Molecule: ribosomal RNA, 520 nt
Filed under: uncultured bacterium
Lineage: Bacteria
Description: partial 16S ribosomal RNA
Rfam family: Bacterial small subunit ribosomal RNA
Source: RNAcentral
GACGAACGCUGGCGGCGUGCCUAAUACAUGCAAGUCGAACGCACUCUCGUUUAGAUUGAAGGAGUUUGCUCCUGAUUGAUAAACAUUUGAGUGAGUGGCGGACGGUUGAGUAACACGUGGGUAACCUGCCCUAAAGUGGGGGAUAACAUUUGGAAACAGAUGCUAAUACCGCAUAAAACCUAACACCGCAUGGUGUAGGGUUGAAAGAUGGUUUCGGCUAUCACUUUAGGAUGGACCCGCGGUGCAUUAGUUAGUUGGUGAGGUAAAGGCUCACCAAGACCGUGAUGCAUAGCCGACCUGAGAGGGUAAUCGGCCACACUGGGACUGAGACACGGCCCAGACUCCUACGGGAGGCAGCAGUAGGGAAUCUUCCACAAUGGACGAAAGUCUGAUGGAGCAACGCCGCGUGAGUGAAGAAGGUUUUCGGAUCGUAAAACUCUGUUGUUGGAGAAGAAUGUAUCUGAUAGUAACUGAUCAGGUAGUGACGGUAUCCAACCAGAAAGCCACGGCUAACUACGUG